Molecule: ribosomal RNA, 293 nt
Filed under: uncultured bacterium
Lineage: Bacteria
Description: partial 16S ribosomal RNA
Rfam family: Bacterial small subunit ribosomal RNA
Source: RNAcentral
AUUAAACGCUGGCGGCAUGCCUUACACAUGCAAGUCGAACGGCAGCGCGGGGCAACCUGGCGGCGAGUGGCGAACGGGUGAGUAACGCAUCGGAACGUGCCCUGGAAUGGGGGAGUAACGUAGCGAAAGUUACGCUAAUACCGCAUAUACUGUGAGCAGGAAAGCAGGGGAUCGCAAGACCUUGCGUUCUGGGAGCGGCCGAUGUCGGAUUAGCUAGUUGGUGGGGUAAAGGCCUACCAAGGCGACGAUCCGUAGCGGGUCGUGAGAGGAUGAUCCGCCACACUGGGACGUGA